Molecule: ribosomal RNA, 301 nt
Filed under: uncultured bacterium
Lineage: Bacteria
Description: partial 16S ribosomal RNA
Rfam family: Bacterial small subunit ribosomal RNA
Source: RNAcentral
CAGCAGCCGCGGUAAUACAGAGGGUGCGAGCGUUAAUCGGAUUUACUGGGCGUAAAGCGUGCGUAGGCGGCUAAUUGAGUCGGAUGUGAAAUCCCCGAGCUUAACUUAGGAAUUGCAUUCGAUACUGGGAAGCUAGAGUAUAAGAGAGGAUGGUAGAAUUCCAGGUGUAGCGGUGAAAUGCGUAGAGAUCUGGAGGAAUACCGAUGGCGAAGGCAGCCAUCUGGCCUAAUACUGACGCUGAGGUACGAAAGCAUGGGGAGCAAACAGGAUUAGAUACCCCUGUAGUCCCUGUCUCUUAUAC